AUUAAAAGCAAGGUAUGGAGCGAAGGUGAUUGGCUCUGGAAUAGAUAGUGAUAGAAUUCCAGGAAUUGACAUAACUUUAAAAGAUGGAGACAAGUGGAUGUUUGCUGGCCAUGAAGUGCAUGUAAUGGAAACUCCUGGUCAUACUCGAGGUCAUAUUAGUUUCUACUUUCCGGGAUCCGCAGCAAUAUUUACUGGAGAUACUUUAUUCAGCUUAUCUUGUGGCAAGCUUUUUGAAGGAACUCCUGAACAGAUGCUAUCUUCCCUUAAAAAGAUCACUUCUUUGCCAGAUGAUACAAACAUAUUUUGCGGUCAUGAAUAUACUCUGAGUAACUCUAAGUUUGCGAUGACAAUUGAACCUAAGAAUGAGGCUCUCAAAUCUUAUGCAACCCAGGUUGCCAAUCUAAGAAGCAAGGGCUUGCCAACGAUUCCAACAACAUUAAAGAUGGAGAAAUUAUGCAAUCCAUUCCUCCGUACUUCAAGUACCGAGAUUCGACAGUCGUUAAAAGUUCAAAAUACA
RNAcentral lists this unclassified non-coding RNA (517 nucleotides) under Hevea brasiliensis (rubber tree). Lineage: Eukaryota; Viridiplantae; Streptophyta; Magnoliopsida; Malpighiales; Euphorbiaceae. The record is from RNAcentral.